RNAcentral lists this ribosomal RNA (530 nucleotides) under Coecobrya phanthuratensis. RNAcentral describes it as "partial 16S ribosomal RNA". It matches the Rfam family "Bacterial large subunit ribosomal RNA", at positions 1794 to 2624 of the family's 2925-position model. Lineage: Eukaryota; Metazoa; Arthropoda; Collembola; Entomobryomorpha; Entomobryidae. The record is from RNAcentral.
AUUCGCCUGUUUUACAAAAACAUUUCUUUUUGGAGUUUUAUAAAGUACAACCUGCCCACUGAUUUUUGAAGGGCCGCGGUAUUUUGACCGUGCUAAGGUAGCAUAAUCAUUAGUCUCUUAAUUAGGGAAUAGAAUGAAUGGUUAAACCUUUAAAAGUUUUUUUAAUUAUUUAAUUUGAAUUUUUAAUGAAAGUAAAAAUAUUUUUAAGCUUUAAGAAGACGAUAAGACCCUUUAGAGCUUAAUAUUUUUGGUAUAAGAGGCUAGCGGGGGUACGCCUCUUAUACCAAAAAUAUUUAAUUGGGGCAAUAAAAGAAUAAAUUUAACUUCUUAAAAAUAUUUAGUAGAUCUUGAAGUUUAAAAAUUAAAAAGUUACCUAAGGGAUAACAGCGUUAUAUUUUUUGAGAGUUCAUAUCGAUAAAAUUGUUUGCGACCUCGAUGUUGAAUUAAAACAGCUUUUUAGGGCAGUAUUUAAGUUAGUUAGUCUGUUCGACUAUUAAAGUUUUACAUGAUUUGAGUCAAAACCGGCGAAA